Molecule: long non-coding RNA, 303 nt
Filed under: Fukomys damarensis (Damara mole-rat)
Lineage: Eukaryota; Metazoa; Chordata; Mammalia; Rodentia; Bathyergidae
Description: lncRNA (ENSFDAG00000028997.1)
Source: RNAcentral
CCCUCUCUUCCUAGGGGUCAUAGGUCUUAUCCCAGCCAUUGCACUUUGAGUGACUAGCACUUUUUCACUGUGCUCUGUUCUAUGGACCUGCUCUCUGGCACAUACCUCACUCACUGAGCCAUCUUGCUGCAGAAAAAGAGCUAAGCUUGGUAGAUCUCUUGAGAAUCUGGUCAAUGGCAAGGAAAAAUCUUGAGAUCCAUGCAGUGGGUUCUGAUCUCUUGCUCAGUACUAUGAUGGUUAAAAGAAAAACUCAAAGACAGAAAAACUAAAGAGACAGAGAUAUCGGGAGCCAGGAUGAUGAAC